This 253-nucleotide ribosomal RNA is filed under the name uncultured bacterium. RNAcentral describes it as "partial 16S ribosomal RNA". It matches the Rfam family "Bacterial small subunit ribosomal RNA", at positions 524 to 776 of the family's 1533-position model. The record is from RNAcentral.
UACGAAGGGGGCUAGCGUUGCUCGGAAUCACUGGGCGUAAAGCGCACGUAGGCGGCUUCUUAAGUCAGGGGUGAAAUCCUGGAGCUCAACUCCAGAACUGCCUUUGAUACUGAGAGGCUUGAGUCCGGGAGAGGUGAGUGGAACUGCGAGUGUAGAGGUGAAAUUCGUAGAUAUCUGGAGGAAUACCGGUGGCGAAGGCGGCAUCCUGGACCGACAUUGACGCUGAUGAGCGAAAGCUAGGGGAGCAAACGGG